AAGUGAAAGCAUUGUGUCAUCGUUGCCAAGAUUUGUUGCACCUAGAACAUAAGUACCUCCGACUUCAUCACUACAUAUCACCCCUAUGAGAGUCAGAGAUGCAUCGUAGGACCACAAGCAAGUCGCAAACCCGAAAAAGGAUGGCUUGCCAAAAACUAGAGGCUUGUAGUUUAGCAUUCAAUGUAUCAUGCGAAACAACAUCCAAUAAGAUGGUGCAUGGCCUCUAGGUGACACCUUAAGUAAGGAAACAAUGUUGAUCGUCACUGUCAUCUAUCUAGGAACCAUAGGUAGAGUUUACUCAAAAGAAUCUAGAAGGAUGAGGAGAUGCAUUUGGAUGACACUUUCAAGGAAGGGAACAAUACCCAAAGUGUCACCACCAUUAGCUCCACCUAAUGCCAUCCAGGGCUUUCGCCAAACGUUCCUCCUCAUAAAGAAGCCACACACCAAACAUCGGACGGUCCUACAAGCACCAAGAUGCAUGGUUAUAAACCGAUGUGUGCGGCCAACACAACAACUCCCUCAAAGCUAUGUGAACUUGCCAACCAUUCACACUGCAUGUAGCUCACCACAUGAGCUCCAUAAACCACUGCAUAUGUAGGCCAUGCCAUAACAAAGACUCUAUGACCAAGAGCCAGGAAGUUAACUUCUCUCAUGGAUAUAGAUUAUAAUAAUAAGUUGAUAGAUACUAUAACUCUCCUUUUUAAACUAUACAAUAAAAAUGAUGUAGUAUAUGGUUUUGUCAGGUUGAAAAAGGUUGUCCCUCCAACCCUUUCUAAUAAGAAAGAAUAGCUUGGGAUGAUUUUUUUGAUGAUGACGAUGAUACUGGUAUGCUUGGAGGUAGUUGUUCGACCUUUCCUCCUAAUCUUGAUUUUUCUUGGAUUGUUCCUACUUUCCUACCGCUACCUUCUACAGGCAACAAGUUCUGCUUCUAGCAGUGGUGGUAGUUCUAAACUUGCAACCUAUCUAGACCGUGACAUUUUUUAUUAUGGAAACAAAAUGUUCCCGCCUUUUGCAAUCUCUUGCAUACGGCCUACAAAUCAAAAAAUGACAAACAUCCAUCAUAAAGAUUCUCAGAAAAAAAACAUCCAUGAAUCAAGCUCCCUCUAGCCUAGCGUUAGACCUCCAUCCAUGGUUUGCAAAGAUCUCCAUAUCCACCACCUCUAAAGAUCAACAUAUCGCAAGGACCUCAUGUUGAGAUUGUUCUUUUCGCAACAAUCUCUAGAAUCUGAGCCAGUAUGUUCUCCUUAAAAGAAUCUGCGUAAUUGAUGGUUUUUUGGCUUAAAGUUAAAGACAACAUCAUAGCGACAUAGCCAAAUAAACCAAAACAUUGCCGCCACUCCAAUUAGGAGUUUUUUUCCUAUGCGCAGUUCCUUUGUUAGCAUUCCAAGACCCAAUUAUAUGAUUAAUACUAUUGGGCCUCUCUAAAUUUAAGACAAAGUAAAUAAUAUCUAAAUAUUUCUAGCAAGGUAACAAUCAAAUAACAGAUGUUGAAUAGUCUCAUUUUGAUUACAAAAGUUGCAUUUCAACCUACCUUUCCAACCACGCUUAGCUAAGUUGUCUUUUGUGAGAGUCCCUUGCCUAAAUACCACAAUAAAAUUUUAAUUUUAAGAGGAAACUUUAGACUCUAAAGUAAAUUAUGAUUUACAGGAGGAGUAUUCAUUAAAAGAGUGUACAUUGAGUGCACUGAGAAAAGCCCAUCUGUAUGGGGCCCCCAAAUAAAUUUGUCUCUCGAGUCUCCCAAAUGAACCAUUGACAUCAUAUUUAAUAAAUUAUAUCAUUCAACCAAUUUCAUCCGACAAUAGCUCUACAUAGUCACCCAGUUAGAUGAGGAGUUCAACAUCACGGACUAGUGUCAUAAACACAAAGUAACUUACCCGUCCUUUCAAUACUUGAUAAAUACAUUUUAAUCAUACCUGUUUCAACCAUUUCUUCAUAGUUUACCUUCGGCACAAUUGGUAGGAUCGUCGAGGAACGGCAGCAGAGACUGAGGUCCCCUUUAGAAUGCAGGAUUGGUAAAAUACGGGAAUAGGAAAAACGGAGGAAUGGAGUUGCACGACAAUUACAAUCCUACAUGAAUUAAAAAUACAGAAAAACUUCUUAAUAGAGUGUUUGGAUGCAAUACAGGAAGAACAUAAGAAUUAGAGGAGAGAGAUAGACAAAAAGGAAAGUUUCCAAGAGGUUGGACGUCUUGUUAGAAAUCUUCUAAAAUCUCACUACAAUGAGCAAUCCAAUAGGAAUUUUAUAGGAUUUGUGGGAACUCAAUUCUUUGUUCCAAAGGACUACAAAUAAAAUUUUCCUAUAUGAUUUCAAUUCUCCAAAAUUCAUUUACUUUUCCUUUGUUCCAAAGGGGCUGAACUCUAAAACUGUGAAACACUCACCUGUGUCAGGGACUGGGAAGCUGCAGAAUCAAGGCUUCAACAUAUGGUGGAGGAUAAGGAGUUGGAGGAGGCCAAUUUGCAAGCCGGAGGCCCCGGGCCAACCACGCCACUUGCCCGGUGAAACGAGAGGAUAAGAAACGCUGCCGCGAAGUAGCAAAGAAGCUGCGGGAAGAUGGAAGUAAUACGUGCUUGUGCAGUUGUGUUCUGGAGUACCAUCUUGUCCUAUCUGUCUUGGCCCGGCACGCGCCCCGGUCGCGUGGACCGUGAGAGAAGCCAGAAGAACCAAAGCAAAUCACCGUGAGAGAAGCCAGAAGAACCAAAGCAAAUCAGCAUGACGCGAUCCCAGCCGACGCCGCGCGCGCAACGCUCUCGUCUCC
This 2755-nucleotide long non-coding RNA is filed under the name Zea mays. Its description in RNAcentral is "long non-coding RNA (ZMAY_LNC001969)". Lineage: Eukaryota; Viridiplantae; Streptophyta; Magnoliopsida; Poales; Poaceae. The record is from RNAcentral.